GUUCCUAUGGAGUAGUGGUUAACUCGUCUGCUUCACACGCAGAAGGUCACCGGUUCAAUCCCGGUUGGGAGCU
Rhabditophanes sp. KR3021 is the source of this 73-nucleotide non-coding RNA. The record is from Rfam. Lineage: Eukaryota; Metazoa; Nematoda; Chromadorea; Rhabditida; Alloionematidae.